RNAcentral lists this transfer RNA (69 nucleotides) under marine eukaryotic metagenome. It matches the Rfam family "tRNA". Rfam says of the family: Transfer RNA (tRNA) molecules are approximately 80 nucleotides in length. Their secondary structure includes four short double-helical elements and three loops (D, anti-codon, and T loops). The record is from RNAcentral.
CCAGGUAGCUCAGUCGGUAGAGCAGAGGACUGAAAAUCCUCGUGUCGGUGGUUCAAUUCCACCCCUGGC